This is a non-coding RNA of Cinara cedri, 873 nucleotides long. The record is from the annotation of a GenBank genome assembly. Lineage: Eukaryota; Metazoa; Arthropoda; Insecta; Hemiptera; Aphididae.
GUCUGAAGAUAUUUGUUGAUUAGCAUAUGUAGUAAACAUGUUCAAAUUGUUGAAGUAGUUAUUUGCAUUUAUCAAUUAUGGAAUGCAGUGUAAUAAGCAAUUAACUUGUAACUAAAACACUUUCCAAUAUCCAUACAGGUAUACCUCCAAAGCACAACCGUAAAUAAUCAGUCUUUUUACCUUCCCAAAAAUCCUUCUCAAAAGAAUUUAUCCAAUUAUAACGGCAAAAUAUUUAAAUAACAAACAGAAAAUCCAAUUUUCAACUAGUCAUCGUAUUGUUACACUCAUAAAAAAAUAAAAGAUCUAAAAUUUUAAAAUUUUAAAUCUAUGUAUGAUAAAUCUAAUUUAAUAUCUGUAGAUUUUCACACUAAGUCAAUGGUUAGACUAGACCCGGCAUGAUUCUUGUGGCAUUAGCCGAUUAUUUUUUGGACAGCACCUGCCGAAUUAUUCGAUCGUUUAUCGGGGACGAAAUUCGGUCGACAGAAAUGGUCAGAUUACAUCCGAAUUUCGGUUGCAUUCAUCAAAAUUAAAGAGAGUUUGUUUGUUUUUUGAUGUAAUUUCGGCACGUAGACAAACAUCGGCAAAGCUACGGCCACACAGAAAGCUACGCUACGUAAGCUGCAUAUGCUCUGUGGUGGGUUUGAAAAAACUUAUAUGAGAAUAUGAGAUUAUAGCAUUUUACAGAAUGACUAAAAAGUUCACUACCCGUUAUGUAAAUCCAUUAUACAAUUAAAAUGUCCUGACAUAAAUAGAGUUAACAAUACGAAAUACUGAAACAUUACAUUCGACCCGCAUUUGCGUUGGAAAAAUUAUAUUUCAGAACUAAAUUAAACAUUUUUUUAAAUUAUACGCUUUCUAGAACAUUAAUUAUGG